UACAGAGGUCCCGAGCGUUGUUCGGAUUCACUGGGCGUAAAGGGUGCGUAGGUGGCGAAGUAAGUCGGAUGUGAAAUCUCGGAGCUUAACUCCGAAACGGCAUUGGAAACUACUUUGCUAGAGGUUUGGAGGGGGGACUGGAAUGCUUGGUGUAGCAGUGAAAUGCGUAGAUAUCAAGCGGAACACCAGUGGCGAAGGCGAGUCCCUGGACAACACCUGACACUGAGGCACGAAAGCUAGGGGAGCAAACAGG
This 253-nucleotide ribosomal RNA is filed under the name uncultured prokaryote. Its description in RNAcentral is "partial 16S ribosomal RNA". It matches the Rfam family "Bacterial small subunit ribosomal RNA", at positions 524 to 776 of the family's 1533-position model. The record is from RNAcentral.